Molecule: ribosomal RNA, 690 nt
Filed under: uncultured bacterium
Lineage: Bacteria
Description: bacterial SSU rRNA
Rfam family: Bacterial small subunit ribosomal RNA
Source: RNAcentral
UGCAAGUCGAGCGGGAUCCAUCUAGUAGCAAUACUGGGGAAGAUCUAGCGGCGAACGGGUGAGUAACACGUGAGAAACCUGCCCCGAAGUCUGGGAUAACCCGAGGAAACUCGAGCUAAUACCGGAUACCCACCACUGGUCGCAUGGCCGGUCGUGGAAAGAUUCAUCGCUUCGGGAGGGUCUCGCGGCCUAUCAGCUAGUUGGCGGGGUAACGGCCCACCAAGGCGUCGACGGGUAGCUGGUCUGAGAGGACGAUCAGCCACACUGGGACUGAGACACGGCCCAGACUCCUACGGGAGGCAGCAGUGGGGAAUCUUGCGCAAUGGGCGAAAGCCUGACGCAGCAACGCCGCGUGCGGGAUGAAGGCCUUCGGGUUGUAAACCGCUUUCAGGAGGGACGAAAUUGACGGUACCUCCAGAAGAAGCCCCGGCCAACUACGUGCCAGCAGCCGCGGUAACACGUAGGGGGCGAGCGUUGUCCGGAUUUAUUGGGCGUAAAGAGCUCGUAGGUGGCUUAGUAAGUCGGGUGUGAAACCUCCAGGCUCAACCUGGAGACGCCACCCGAUACUGCUAUAGCUUGAGUCCGGUAGGGGAGCGUGGAAUUCCUGGUGUAGCGGUGAAAUGCGCAGAUAUCAGGAGGAACACCAGCGGCGAAGGCGGCGCUCUGGGCCGGUACUGACACUGAGGAGCG